Molecule: ribosomal RNA, 301 nt
Filed under: uncultured bacterium
Lineage: Bacteria
Description: partial 16S ribosomal RNA
Rfam family: Bacterial small subunit ribosomal RNA
Source: RNAcentral
CAGUCGCCACGGUAAUACGUAGGGUCCGAGCGUUGUCCGGAAUUACUGGGCGUAAAGAGCUCGUAGGUGGUUUGUCGCGUUGUUCGUGAAAACUCACAGCUUAACUGUGGGCGUGCGGGCGAUACGGGCAGACUAGAGUACUGCAGGGGAGACUGGAAUUCCUGGUGUAGCGGUGGAAUGCGCAGAUAUCAGGAGGAACACCGGUGGCGAAGGCGGGUCUCUGGGCAGUAACUGACGCUGAGGAGCGAAAGCGUGGGGAGCGAACAGGAUUAGAUACCCCAGUAGUCCCUGUCUCUUAUAC